Molecule: ribosomal RNA, 484 nt
Filed under: uncultured bacterium
Lineage: Bacteria
Description: partial 16S ribosomal RNA
Rfam family: Bacterial small subunit ribosomal RNA
Source: RNAcentral
UUGCACGCUGGCGGCAGGCUUAACACAUGCAAGUCGAGCGGGGAAAGGUAGCUUGCUACCUGACCUAGCGGCGGACGGGUGAGUAAUGCUUAGGAAUCUGCCUAUUAGUGGGGGACAACAUCUCGAAAGGGAUGCUAAUACCGCAUACGUCCUACGGGAGAAAGCAGGGGACCUUCGGGCCUUGCGCUAAUAGAUGAGCCUAAGUCGGAUUAGCUAGUUGGUGGGGUAAAGGCCUACCAAGGCGACGAUCUGUAGCGGGUCUGAGAGGAUGAUCCGCCACACUGGGACUGAGACACGGCCCAGACUCCUACGGGAGGCAGCAGUGGGGAAUAUUGGACAAUGGGGGGAACCCUGAUCCAGCCAUGCCGCGUGUGUGAAGAAGGCCUUUUGGUUGUAGAGCACUUUAAGCGAGGAGGAGGCUACCGAGAUUAAUACUCUUGGAUAGUGGACGUUACUCGCAGAAUAAGCACCGGCUAACUCUGUG